RNAcentral lists this ribosomal RNA (497 nucleotides) under uncultured bacterium. Its description in RNAcentral is "partial 16S ribosomal RNA". It matches the Rfam family "Bacterial small subunit ribosomal RNA", at positions 28 to 507 of the family's 1533-position model. The record is from RNAcentral.
GAUGAACGCUGGCGGCGUGCCUAAUACAUGCAAGUCGAGCGAACAGACGAGGAGCUUGCUCCUCUGACGUUAGCGGCGGACGGGUGAGUAACACGUGGAUAACCUACCUAUAAGACUGGGAUAACUUCGGGAAACCGGAGCUAAUACCGGAUAACAUGUUGAACCGCAUGGUUCAACAGUGAAAGACGGUCUUGCUGUCACUUAUAGAUGGAUCCGCGCCGCAGUAGCUAGUUGGUAAGGUAACGGCUUACCAAGGCAACGAUGCGUAGGCGACCGGAGAGGGUGAUCGGCCACACUGGAACUGAGACACGGUCCAGACGCCUACGGGAGGCAGCAGUAGGGAAUCUGCCGCGAAGGGCGAAAGCCUGACGGAGCAACGCCGCGUGAGUGAAGAAGGUCUUCGGAUCGUAAAACUCUGUUAUGAGGGAAGAACAAAUGUGUAAGUAACUAUGCACGUCUUGACGGUACCUAAUCAGAAAGCCACGGCUAACUACGUG